CCACAGCCUGGGCUGUGUGAGAAAUUACACAGCAGGGCUGCUCUACCGGGCACACACGCUAAGUACCGGGAGGAGAACAGUCGUUUCUGGCGAACUCUGCUUCCCGGAGCCAACGGCAGCCGUCUACAUGCACUGUGAAGACAAUGGCGCCCGAACCGCGAAACUACACUUCCCAGAAUAUUAUGCGGCCGCGAAACGUCUUUCGGGUCAUUCCUCUGCUCGCACAGAUGUUGUCCGGCCCGGAGAAGGGCAGCCUUGCUAGUGCGGGACACCAAGUGGCCUCUACCAACCGAAGGUCUCCUCUCAUACAAAAGUUUGCUGCCACGCUGUCCAGCUCGUAUAGGUCUUGAGUAUUUGGCGCCCGCUUGCCCAGGACUGUAUUUUCCCAAAUGCCCUGUGUCCGGGCUGUUACAUUUGCUGUCUGCGGACCAAUGACACUUCCCAGAAGUUCGAGGGGUCACGUCUUCGCUACGACAGUGACUGCCGCUGUGAUGUGCAUUACACGUCCUCGAAGGACUCAGGAUUAUCAGACUCGAGUGAGGGCACUGAGGACCGAGACCCUCAAUCCUGGGAAAAAACACUCCUCUGACCCUCCUCCGGCCCCAGAAGCGCUUCUUAGUCUCUGACUGCCCAGCCCACCCACACGGGCCCUGGACAAAGAUGUAUCUAGGCCAGAGCAUUCUACUGUUGCGUUCCUUGCCUGCGACCUUUCAGAACUUCCCAGAGAAUCACCAUAAAGAGGCAUCCGUGACCUUCAAGGACGUGGCAGUGACCUUUACCUAGGACGAGUGGGGGCAGC
This is a non-coding RNA of Delphinapterus leucas (beluga whale), 799 nucleotides long. The record is from RefSeq and is a predicted model, not a curated record. Lineage: Eukaryota; Metazoa; Chordata; Mammalia; Artiodactyla; Monodontidae.